GUAGGUGGCAAGCGUUGUCCGGAAUUAUUGGGCGUAAAGCGCGCGCAGGCGGGUUCUUUAAGUCUGAUGUGAAAGCCCACGGGCUCAACCGUGGAGGGUCAUUGGAAACUGGAGAACUUGAGUACAGAAGAGGAAAGCGGAAUUCCACGUGUAGCGGUGAAAUGCGUAGAGAUGUGGAGGAACACCAGUGGCGAAGGCGGCUUUCUGGUCUGUAACUGACGCUGAGGCGCGAAAGCGUGGGGAGCAAACAGGACUAGAUACCCUGGUAGUCCACGCCGUAAACGAUGAGUGCUAAGUGUUAGGGGGUUUCCGCCCCUUAGUGCCGCAGCUAACGCAUUAAGCACUCCGCCUGGGGAGUACGGCCGCAAGGCUG
This 373-nucleotide ribosomal RNA is filed under the name uncultured organism. RNAcentral's name for it is "partial 16S ribosomal RNA". It matches the Rfam family "Bacterial small subunit ribosomal RNA", at positions 527 to 896 of the family's 1533-position model. The record is from RNAcentral.